GCGGGUAUAGUUUAGUGGUAAAACCCUAGCCUUCCAAGCUAAUGAUGCGGGUUCGAUUCCCGCUACCCGCU
RNAcentral lists this transfer RNA (71 nucleotides) under Psilotum nudum. Its description in RNAcentral is "tRNA-Gly". It matches the Rfam family "tRNA". Rfam says of the family: Transfer RNA (tRNA) molecules are approximately 80 nucleotides in length. Their secondary structure includes four short double-helical elements and three loops (D, anti-codon, and T loops). The record is from RNAcentral. Lineage: Eukaryota; Viridiplantae; Streptophyta; Polypodiopsida; Psilotales; Psilotaceae. RNAcentral also lists the same sequence under 89 other names.